AUGCACUGGUGUCUCUUCAGUUCUAUUAAAUCUUUUUCCUUUGUCUGAAAGCUUUCCGUGGAGAGGUACAACCAUGUUUUUUUUUUAAAGCUUUUUCAAGACUCUGAUCCAUGCAGGGCU
Molecule: small nuclear RNA, 120 nt
Organism: Bombina bombina (fire-bellied toad)
Lineage: Eukaryota; Metazoa; Chordata; Amphibia; Anura; Bombinatoridae
Product: U5 spliceosomal RNA
Exons: 1
Source: RefSeq, a predicted model, not a curated record